RNAcentral lists this long non-coding RNA (643 nucleotides) under Trifolium pratense (red clover). RNAcentral's name for it is "long non-coding RNA (TPRA_LNC001968)". The record is from RNAcentral. Lineage: Eukaryota; Viridiplantae; Streptophyta; Magnoliopsida; Fabales; Fabaceae.
AAAUCUCGCGCAUUUAUGAGAGCAUCUGCUAUUUAUGGAAAUCCACUUAAAGAGCACGCUCAAUGGAGAUUUGAUCUGAUCAGGAGCUUUAAGGAUAAGACUAACUUAAUGGAAUAGCUGGAUGACUUAUUCUAUCAUAUAAAGUCCUUUAAACACUUUUGGAAAGUCUUGAUAUAUCCUUAAUGAAGAUUGAAAAAGUAUCAGAUCAUCCUUUAUGAUUCUCAAGGAGCGUCUGAGCAUUUGUGAAGAAAGAGGAGCGUGCCUAUUCAUUAUAUAUACGAAGACCAAGCUCAAGACUAUAUAUCUCAUUGAAAAAAUAUUAGUUCACAUAUUGAGUCUUUGUUGAGUCUUUUAUUAUUUGAUUGUAAUUCUUGCUUGUGGAUCCUAUAACACGAGUUAAGAAGUAAGUUUAUUAGUUUAAGGUUGCUCCUAAGCUUUGAAGUACGGAGUUUACCGUGUGUGAUUCACUUGAAGCUUUUAAGCAAAAGUGAAGUGUUGUCUUGACAAGUUGUCACCACAUCUUUCUCAACAUUGUAUAAUCAACACAGGUUGUGUUGUGUGAGUGGAAGUGAGAUGGGAUCUCAUGUCUAGGAGUUCCUAGGCAGAAGUUGCAUGAGUAGUGUCGAGGUUAUAAGGCGUAAAC